CAAUAGCGUAUAUUAAAGUUGUUGCAGUUAAAAAGCUCGUAGUUGGAUUUCGGGGCAGCCUGGCUAGUCCGCCGCAAGGCGAGUACUGGUCAGCCGCCCUUCCUCUCGAAAGCCCCGACUGCUCUUCGUUGCAGUGGUCGGGUAGUUCGGGACGUUUACUUUGAAAAAAUUAGAGUGUUCAAGGCAGGCCUACGCCUGAAUACAUUAGCAUGGAAUAAUGGAAGAGGACCUCGGUCCUAUUUUGUUGGUUUCCAGGGCCGAAGUAAUGAUUAAGAGGGACAGUUGGGGGCAUUCGUAUUUAAUUGUCAGAGGUGAAAUUCUCGGAUUUAUGAAAGACGAACAACUGCGAAAGCAUUUGCCAAGGAUGUUUUCAUUAA
This 377-nucleotide ribosomal RNA is filed under the name uncultured eukaryote. Its description in RNAcentral is "partial 18S ribosomal RNA". It matches the Rfam family "Eukaryotic small subunit ribosomal RNA", at positions 592 to 976 of the family's 1831-position model. The record is from RNAcentral.